UCGAGAAUCUUCCGCAAUGGGCGCAAGCCCGACGGAGCGACGCCGCGUGCGGGACGAAGGCCCUUGGGUUGUAAACCGCUGUCAGAGGGGAUGAAAUCGUUGGAGGCUAUCCUCCUUCGUUGACAGAGCCUCAGAGGAAGCACGGGCUAAGUACGUGCCAGCAGCCGCGGUAACACGUACUGUGCGAACGUUAUUCGGAAUCACUGGGCUUAAAGGGUCCGUAGGCGGCUUUGCAAGUCAGGUGUGAAAUUUCACGGCUCAACCGUGAAACUGCGCUUGAAACUGCAAGGCUUGAGUAUCUUAGGGGUGUGCGGAACUGCCAGUGGAGCGGUGAAAUGUGUUGAUAUUGGCAGGAACACCGGAGGCGAAAGCGGCACACUGGGAGAUAACUGACGCUGAGGGACGAAAGCCAGGGGAGCGAACGGGAUUAGAUACCCCCGUAGUCC
This 446-nucleotide ribosomal RNA is filed under the name uncultured prokaryote. RNAcentral describes it as "bacterial SSU rRNA". It matches the Rfam family "Bacterial small subunit ribosomal RNA", at positions 355 to 796 of the family's 1533-position model. The record is from RNAcentral.